AUUGAACGCUGGCGGCAGGCCUAACACAUGCAAGUCGAGCGAGCGGCGGACGGGUGAGUAAUGUCUGGGAAACUGCCUGAUGGAGGGGGAUAACUACUGGAAACGGUAGCUAAUCCCGCAUACCAUCAGAUGUGCCCAGAUGGGAUUAGCUAGUAGGUGGGGUAACGGCUCACCUAGGCGACGAUCCCUAGCUGGGCUGCGAGGUUGACCAGCCACAGUGGAACUUAGACACGGGCCAGACUCUGACGGGAGGCAGCAUGGGGGAAUCUUGCACAAUGGGCGCAAGCCUGAUGCAGCCAUGCCGCGUGUGUGAAGAAGGCCUUCGGGUUGUAAAGCACUUUCAGCGGUGAGGCGUUACCCGCAGAAGAAGCACCGGCUAACUCCGUGCCAGCAGCCGCGGUAAUAC
RNAcentral lists this ribosomal RNA (406 nucleotides) under uncultured bacterium. RNAcentral's name for it is "partial 16S ribosomal RNA". It matches the Rfam family "Bacterial small subunit ribosomal RNA", at positions 30 to 526 of the family's 1533-position model. The record is from RNAcentral.